RNAcentral lists this ribosomal RNA (531 nucleotides) under Aspergillus niger. Its description in RNAcentral is "eukaryotic LSU rRNA". The stretch from base 159 to 312 matches the Rfam family "5.8S ribosomal RNA". Lineage: Eukaryota; Fungi; Ascomycota; Eurotiomycetes; Eurotiales; Aspergillaceae. The record is from RNAcentral.
CCCAUCCGUGUCUAUUGUACCCUGUUGCUUCGGCGGGCCCGCCGCUUGUCGGCCGCCGGGGGGGCGCCUCUGCCCCCCGGGCCCGUGCCCGCCGGAGACCCCAACACGAACACUGUCUGAAAGCGUGCAGUCUGAGUUGAUUGAAUGCAAUCAGUUAAAACUUUCAACAAUGGAUCUCUUGGUUCCGGCAUCGAUGAAGAACGCAGCGAAAUGCGAUAACUAAUGUGAAUUGCAGAAUUCAGUGAAUCAUCGAGUCUUUGAACGCACAUUGCGCCCCCUGGUAUUCCGGGGGGCAUGCCUGUCCGAGCGUCAUUGCUGCCCUCAAGCCCGGCUUGUGUGUUGGGUCGCCGUCCCCCUCUCCGGGGGGACGGGCCCGAAAGGCAGCGGCGGCACCGCGUCCGAUCCUCGAGGCGUAUGGGGCUUUGUCACAUGCUCUGUAGGAUUGGCCGGCGCCUGCCGACGUUUUUCCAACCAUUUCUUUUCCAGGUUGACCUCGGAUCAGGUAGGGGAUACCCCGCUGAACUUAAGCAU